Oryza sativa Japonica Group (Japanese rice) is the source of this 204-nucleotide microRNA precursor. It matches the Rfam family "MIR812 microRNA precursor family". The record is from Rfam. NCBI's taxonomy places the organism in Eukaryota, Viridiplantae, Streptophyta, Magnoliopsida, Poales, Poaceae.
AAAAUGCCCAGGCUGAGGUUUCCGUGUCCAACUUUGACUGUCCGUCUUAUAUGAAAUUUUUUUAUAAUUCGUAUUUUCAUUGUUGUUAUAUGAUAAAACAUGAUUAAUAUUUUAUGUGUGACUUAUCUUUUUAAUUUUUUUCAUAAUUUUUUAAAUAAGACGGACGGUCAAACGUUGGACACGGAAACCAGGGUUUGUCUUUUU